GACGAACGCUGGCGGCGUGCCUAACACAUGCAAGUCGAGCGGGGUUGAAGCGAGAGGUAACUCGAGUUUCUACCUAGCGGCGGACGGGUGAGUAACGCGUGGGCAACCUGCCUCAAGGUCUGGGAUAACAGCCCGAAAGGGCUGCUAAUACCGGGUAUGCUUGUGGCCUCGCAUGGGGCUAUGAGCAAAGGGGAAACCCGCCUUGAGAUGGGCCCGCGUCCCAUCAGCUAGUUGGUGAGGUAACAGCUCACCAAGGCGACGACGGGUAGCCGGCCUGAGAGGGUGACCGGCCACACUGGGACUGAGACACGGCCCAGACUCCUACGGGGGGCAGCAGUGGGGGAUCUUGCACAAUGGGCGAAAGCCUGAUGCAGCGACGCCGCGUGAGCGAAGAAGGCCUUCGGUUGUAAAGCUCUGUCUGGAGGGACGAAGGAAGUAGACGGUACCUCCGGAGGAAGCCACGGCUAACUACGUGCCAGCAGCCGCGGUAACACGAGAGUA
Molecule: ribosomal RNA, 501 nt
Filed under: uncultured bacterium
Lineage: Bacteria
Description: bacterial SSU rRNA
Rfam family: Bacterial small subunit ribosomal RNA
Source: RNAcentral